This is a long non-coding RNA of Felis catus (domestic cat), 4161 nucleotides long. RefSeq lists it as uncharacterized. The transcript has 3 exons. The record is from RefSeq and is a predicted model, not a curated record. NCBI's taxonomy places the organism in Eukaryota, Metazoa, Chordata, Mammalia, Carnivora, Felidae.
CGUGGGUAAGGGGCAGGGGCUGGAGCCAGAAAAGGAAGAGACGGUGCUGACUGUAACGGUUCCCCUGCUUUCUCCUUGCUCCGCAAAGAACAAUACUUUCCCCAACUACCCUGGAGGAUCCUAGAGCAGCCGGGCUUGGGAACCGGGACGGAGGCGUGGCUCGCGGUAGCACCACCCACUCCCGCCCCCCAGUCCCAGAGUGCAGUGCGCAAGGAACGUCCCAGGGUUCCUCGCGGCGCCGCAGAUCAGCCCCUCCUUUGGGACGUCACCCCAGGGCGGGGGACCCACAGGGCUUCAGCCAAGGUCAAGAGCUGGGUCAGGAAGCCACCGCAGGACCCGAGGACGUAGGAAGCGCCUGCCGCGUGGAGCCUCACUAUUGGCCUGCCAGCAGGUCUUUAUCCAGAAGCAGCAAGAUAGUUAAAGAAUGGAAAUGGAUCAAGGGUGAAAUGGACAACGAAACCUGGCCACGAGCUCUAACGUGGCAGAAAUGGGCAGGCUGUGUGGGACGGAACCUGGAGCUCUCCAGGGAGUCCCUAGGUUUUGGGCUGAAGUACUUCUGGAAGCGAGUUGCCUCACUCUGCCUCAACCUGCCAUGGUGACAUGAGCCUCUUCAGAGAUGAACUGCUGUCGAGUGAGCCGUCUGUGAGCGCUUAAAGACUCCACACGGUACCACUGCCAGCCGGGGCCUUUUCCACUCAGCCUUAUUUCCUCCUUUCCAAGGCCUCGUGCUUCUCUAUACAGGUCAUCAAUCUUUAGAGCAAGAGGGUACCAAUAAAAUCAUCUAAUCCAGAACUUCCAGUUUUCAAAUGGGACUCUGAAGCCUGGGGUGGGUGGGCAGUGAUUUGCUGAGGUUUCUGCAGGUGCCUGCCAGAUUUGGAACUGGACCCACGUGUCCACUUUUCUAUUAAAACACACUGCCUCUCAGAAGAAGAGAACCAAAGCACGCCCCUGUGAAAGCUGCAACUAGCUGUCAGCCACAGAAACCUACGAGUGAACGAACACACGUUCUGAGGAUUAGAAAAAAGCCGGGGCGACGAGGGCUGGGUCCCUUUGAGGCAAAAUGAAUGUAGAUCGCAUGUGCCUAGCGGGGUAUGUGCUCCUCCAUCCCAAGCUUUAGUUCUCCCUGUUACGUAUCCUUUGCAGUUCAGGGCUGGCUGACCAUUUUCUGGGGGAGAAUUUGGGGGAAGGCUGUCCACCAGAGCAGCAAAUACUCACUGUUUAUGGUACCUGCUAGUGCAUUAAUAUUAUUCAGUCCGACAGUGGCUCCCGCCAGCCCUUGCAGAGUCCCAAGAGAGGUCAGAGAAUUCAUGGCCGCACCAGCACUGGAGUUGGGGGUUGAAGCAGCCACUGAAAAACAAAACAAGACAGGAAAACGGGGAGAGAAAACACAAGAUGAGUGAAGGCCAAGUGGCCCGGAAAGUAAUCGUCCUCUCCACGGCAGCUGGAGCUGGGGGCUGAACUGCGAGCCACGCUUAACGCUUCCCAUCAUGUGGGGCUGUGCUUGGGGGCAAUUCUGGCGGUUAGGUUUGGUGAUUCAAGUAAGCCAUCACAGCUCUGUUCGGCCAGUCAGUGAAUAUGCUCACUGCUCGUUAGUGGGGGUGAAUCGGCAAACAGGAGGCCGUCUUCUGGGUAGGCUGCCCCCCACACCCCCCAACCAGCCACAGAAGGGCAGCCUCAGUCCUGCAGGCCGAGGCCUUCUCCUGUUCACCAGUGACUGGCACAGAAGGGGGUAGGGGGUGGGAGUGAAUGGCAGUCCUUGGUUUUCUCACUGUUUCUGCUUCAGACUCAGCAUUUUCUUUUCUCACUGAAAUUCUGAAAAAAAAAAAAAAAAAAAAAUCCUACAUCUUCCUGAAUUUGACAGAAGACUUCAGGGCCCAGGCAGUAGUGGUAACAGGGUGAGGAGUGGUAGGAGACAAAACCAUUUUGCUCCAAACUCUCUUACCCCCAGUCUUUUAGGUAACAGCUUUACUGACAGAUUACUCACAUGCCAUAAAAUUUGGCCCUUGAAGCAUGCAAGUCAGUGGUUUUUAGUAUGUUCGCAGUUAUCCAGCCGUACCACCAUCUAACAGAAUAUUCUUGCCCCGAAAAGAAAGCCAUCCUUGUUAGCUAUCAUUCCCCGUUCCCCCCACCACUUCCUGUCUCUAUGAAUUUUCUUAGUCUGGAUAUUUCAUGGAGGUGGAAUCACAUAAUUUGUGAUCUUUUGUGACUGCUUCCUUCACUUAGCAAGACGUUCUCAAGAUCCCUCUGUGUAGGACGGGCCAGGAUUUCAUAGCAGAGUAACACUUUGCUGUAUGAAAACACUGCAUUUUGUGUAUCCAUUUAUCAGUUGUGGACAUUUUGAUUGUUUCAACUUUUGGGCUAGUAUGAAUAGUGAUGCUAUGAACAUCUAACACAAGCUUUUGCAUAGCCAUAAACUUUCAUUUUCAUUUGAGUGUACACACACACCACACCACACCCAGGAGCAGGACAGCUGGGUAAGAUGAUAACUUCCUGCUUAACAUUUGGAGGACCUGCUGGACUGUUCUCCAGAGCAGCUGCACUCUCUGUCCCUUUUACACCAUUACAUAAUGGCGUCUGUAAGUAGUAUGUCACGUGUCUUACAUUUGUAUACACUUGUACAGCUUCACACUCCGCUGACUUUUUCCAUGGACAUCACUUCGCUUUAUCCUGGUGAUCGAGGUGAAAGCUGAACUGAACUCUGACCAGCGCUAAAAGCAGCACCUGGUCCUUUUCUAGCUGUGAGAUCCAGGAUGGCCAGGAACUUCAUCCAUCUCCUGGAAUGUUCCUGCUCAGCAGGAGCUCAUCCUUCCUCUGCCUUCAGAAACCACAAACAGCACUGCUUGAAAAGCACCUUGCUUGGGAUCCCUCUGGGAUGAGGCCAGAUCAAAUGCCUAAAAAAUGAAUUCCUCACCUUGUCCCAUUUCAGUCCAUGUAGGCCAUUAGCUUCUCACACCUCAUAAUGCAUAUCUCUUUUUAAAAGAAAAUGAUAUAUAAUCCAGUGUCUUUAGUCCUUUUGUAUUAUGAAACUUUGCAAAUACACAAGAGAAAAACAUGACAAACUCCCAUAAACUCAUAGCCACAUUCUAGAAUAUUUGAGAAGCAAUUUAAUCUAUUUUUUUUAAUUUUUAAAAACAUUUUAUUUAUUUUUGAGAGAGACAGAGUACAAGGUGGGGAGGGGCCGAGAGAGAGGGAGACAUAGAAUCUGAAGCAGGCUCCAGGCUCUGAGAAUCAGCACAGAGCCUGAUGCGGGGCCUGAACUCGUGAACCGUGAGAUCAUGACCUGAGCCAAAGUCGGAUGCUUAACUGACUGAGCCACCCAGGCGCCCCUUCUCAAUCUCUAUUUUAAAGCCAAUUUCAGACCUUCUGUUGUCUCUCCCCUAUAUACUUCAGUAUGCAACUCUAAAAACUGUGGACAUUUUUUUAAAAACUCAAAACCAGUAUUACACCUCACAAAAAUAACAGUAGUUCCUUGGUUUUAUUAUGUAAUAAUACCUUGUUUAGGAUUUUUUUGUCUAUGUACAUGAGUAUGAUUGGCACUUACUUUCCUUCCUGUGGGUCUUUAGUUUUGCUAAUAAGCUUUUGCUAACCUCAUCAAAUGACUCAGGCAGUGUCUUUAUUUUUGCAUUUUCUGGGAUAAACUGUAAAAGAUGGCAAUUAUUUCUAACUUCAAUGUUUCAUAGAAUAUGCCCAGUAAAAAUGAUGUGGACUUGAUAUUUCUUCAUGGGAGGAUUACAUUUCCUUAACUAAGAUUGUUCAACUUUUCUUGUUCUUCUCUAAUCAGUUGUAUUCAGUUAUAGCUUUCUAGGAACUUAUGUGUUUAAGUUUUCAAGUUUAUAUUGGCAAAAAUUAUUCAUAACAUGCUCUUAAUAAAUGUUUAAAAUCAGGAACAUUUACAAUUAAAUCCUAUUUCUUUGUCUGCUUGUGCUGUCCGUUACUGAGAGAAGCAUGUGAAAAUCUCCCACUGUGGUAAUGUCAAUUUCUCCAGGUAAAUAUGGACAUUUUUUGGAAUACAUCUUGAAGCUAUGUUACUCCUUGUGUAGAUGUUUGUAAAUUAUUGUAUCUUGUGGUGCAAUCAACUUUUGGUGGCAGCUCUUAUUUCUAGUUUCUUCUUGAAGUCUGUUUUGUAUGAUAAAAAAUAAAGGCAUCAGAUUUUUUUGGUUA